This 234-nucleotide ribosomal RNA is filed under the name uncultured Candidatus Saccharibacteria bacterium. RNAcentral describes it as "partial 16S ribosomal RNA". It matches the Rfam family "Bacterial small subunit ribosomal RNA", at positions 584 to 818 of the family's 1533-position model. The record is from RNAcentral. Lineage: Bacteria; Candidatus Saccharimonadota.
UAAGUUAGUAGUGAAAUCGUGUGGCUCAACCAUAUACACAUUACUAAACUGCUCAGCUAGAAGAUGAGAGAGGUCGCUAGAAUUCCUAGUGUAGGAGUGAAAUCCGUAGAUAUUAGGAGGAAUACCGAUGGCGUAGGCAGGCGACUGGCUCAUUCUUGACACUAAGGCACGAAAGCGUGGGGAGCGAACGGGAUUAGAUACCCCGGUAGUCCACGCCGUAAACUAUGGAUGCUA